Molecule: unclassified non-coding RNA, 213 nt
Filed under: uncultured fungus
Lineage: Eukaryota; Fungi
Description: sequence contains ITS1
Source: RNAcentral
UUAACUUAUUUGUGUUUUUACUCAGAGAUGCCACUAUAAUUCAGAAGAGUUUGUGCCCUCCGGCGGGCGCUUCCGCCCCGCGAACGGGGUUUCCGCAGCGGCCCCUCCCAGGGGCCGCCCGCCGAAGCAACGCUGUACGGAUGAGUUCGCGAUGGUUGUAAGGAGUCCUUUCGGAGCUCUGUAAUGAUCCCUCCGCUGGUUCACCAACGGAGA